This 524-nucleotide ribosomal RNA is filed under the name uncultured bacterium. RNAcentral describes it as "bacterial SSU rRNA". It matches the Rfam family "Bacterial small subunit ribosomal RNA", at positions 355 to 896 of the family's 1533-position model. The record is from RNAcentral.
UGGGGAACAUUGGACAAUGGACCAAGAGUCUGAUCCAGCAAUUCUGUGUGCACGAUGAAGUUUUUCGGAAUGUAAAGUGCUUUCAGUUGGGAAGAAAGAAAUGACGGUACCAACAGAAGAAGUGACGGCUAAAUACGUGCCAGCAGCCGCGGUAAUACGUAUGUCACGAGCGUUAUCCGGAUUUAUUGGGCGUAAAGCGCGUCUAGGUGGUUAUGUAAGUCUGAUGUGAAAAUGCAGGGCUCAACUCUGUAUUGCGUUGGAAACUGUAUAACUAGAGUACUGGAGAGGUAAGCGGAACUACAAGUGUAGAGGUGAAAUUCGUAGAUAUUUGUAGGAAUGCCGAUGGGGAAGCCAGCUUACUGGACAGAUACUGACGCUGAAGCGCGAAAGCGUGGGUAGCAAACAGGAUUAGAUACCCUGGUAGUCCACGCCGUAAACGAUGAUUACUAGGUGUUGGGGGUCGAACCUCAGCGCCCAAGCAAACGCGAUAAGUAAUCCGCCUGGGGAGUACGUACGCAAGUAUG